GUGGGGAAUAUUGGGCAAUGGGGGAAACCCUGACCCAGCAACGCCGCGUGAAGGAAGACGGUUUUCGGAUUGUAAACUUCUUUUAUCGGGGACGAAAAAAAUGACGGUACCCGAAGAAAAAGCCACGGCUAACUACGUGCCAGCAGCCGCGGUAAUACGUAGGUGGCAAGCGUUGUCCGGAAUUAUUGGGCGUAAAGCGCGCGCAGGCGGGAUAUCAAGUCUGUCUUAAAAGUGCGAGGCUCAACCUCGUGAGGGGACAGAAACUGGUAUUCUUGAGUGCAGGAGAGGAAAGGGGAAUUCCCAGUGUAGCGGUGAAAUGCGUAGAUAUUGGGAGGAACACCAGUGGCGAAGGCGCCUUUCUGGACUGUGUCUGACGCUGAGAUGCGAAAGCCAGGGUAGCGAACGGGAUUAGAUACCCUUGUAGUCC
This 427-nucleotide ribosomal RNA is filed under the name uncultured bacterium. RNAcentral's name for it is "partial 16S ribosomal RNA". It matches the Rfam family "Bacterial small subunit ribosomal RNA", at positions 354 to 796 of the family's 1533-position model. The record is from RNAcentral.